This 338-nucleotide ribosomal RNA is filed under the name uncultured soil bacterium. Its description in RNAcentral is "bacterial SSU rRNA". It matches the Rfam family "Bacterial small subunit ribosomal RNA", at positions 26 to 376 of the family's 1533-position model. The record is from RNAcentral.
AGAUUGAACGCUGGCGGCAUGCCUAACACAUGCAAGUCGAACGGGAGUAGCAAUACUCUAGUGGCGGACGGGUGAGGAAUACGUAGGAAUUUGCCCUUAAGUGGGGGAUAACCCGGGGAAACCCGGAUUAAUACCGCAUGACCUCGAAAGAGCAAAGUGGGGGAUCGCAAGACCUCACGCUUUUGGAGAAGCCUACGUCGGAUUAGCUAGUUGGUGAGGUAAUGGCUCACCAAGGCGACGAUCCGUAACUGGUCUGAGAGGAUGAUCAGUCACACCGGAACUGAGACACGGUCCGACUCCGUACGGGAGCAGCGAGUGGGGAAUUAUGGACAAGUGGG